This is a small nucleolar RNA of Benincasa hispida (wax gourd), 99 nucleotides long. RefSeq annotates it as small nucleolar RNA snoR99. The record is from RefSeq and is a predicted model, not a curated record. Lineage: Eukaryota; Viridiplantae; Streptophyta; Magnoliopsida; Cucurbitales; Cucurbitaceae.
GUGCAGAAGAGGAUAUGUUUGUUCCCAAUACUGAUUUCCAUUCGACUUUGUCAGCUGAAAUUAUUUACUUGCAGUUGAUUUUCAAUGAAUGGUACAUCU